GCCGAGCCAUAGUUCAACACAAGUUUUCAACAAUGCAUAAAAUACUUGAAGUACAGUGAAUGUUGAAAAGGAAUCCAGUAACUUAUUCCUAAAAGCAUUUCAGCUAAAACAUGCAUCUUCAUAUAGCGUCAUUUUGUUCAUGUGCAACGAUCCAACAACAAAUCCUGAAUGUCUAAUGGAGAACCCUCUCGCCGACUACGACUAGCAAGCAUAAGCAUCACUCGUCACCCUUCAGGGCUCCGGUAUGCUGUAGCUGUACAUGAGCAUAUUUUGAUUUGGAUUCCACGCAUCAGAAGACUAAUAAGCUGAUGCUGCAUUGCUGCACUUCUGCCAUCAGAAUGCCACGCGUACGAAGACCGAUGUUAGCCAGCAGCCGCUAAAGAGACCAGAAGCAACAUGAAAUCAAGAGCAGAGGACCAAGGAAGGGAGGGAGGCCUGCAGCGGCUGAGUAGAGGAGAGGAGAGAGAAAUAAAUUGCAGCCAGCUAUGGUUUCAUUUAGGUAUUUAUAUUAUAUGGUUUUGGAUGGACCAAUGGGCCGCAUGAUCAUGAUCCAAAGCAAGUCUGGGAUUUUGAAAGGCCAGCACGUGCCAAUCUCUGCCCCCACACUUGAGCUUACGCGUCCUCGGUAGCUAGUGCCGGCCUUAUUCACUGUAGGUGGGAUUAAAUGGCUGCAUGACCUUUCGAGGAUUUUAGUAGCAUGCAUUCUCCUAGUGCCUCUCAAGCCAAUCAAAGGAGAUUCCAUAGACUUUGUUCUCUCAACUUGUAGACAAUAGGAUCAACAGGACUAAAGUGCCUAGAAAUUUCAAUUUCAGAGAGGAUAUAUAUUAUUUGAUAACUUGGUCGAUCUCAAAGGCUUUGGAUCCACAUGGUG
This 871-nucleotide long non-coding RNA is filed under the name Sorghum bicolor (sorghum). Its description in RNAcentral is "long non-coding RNA (SBIC_LNC009623)". Lineage: Eukaryota; Viridiplantae; Streptophyta; Magnoliopsida; Poales; Poaceae. The record is from RNAcentral.